This 77-nucleotide non-coding RNA is filed under the name Pantoea wallisii. Its description in RNAcentral is "Fluoride sequence". It matches the Rfam family "Fluoride riboswitch aptamer (crcB RNA motif)". Lineage: Bacteria; Pseudomonadati; Pseudomonadota; Gammaproteobacteria; Enterobacterales; Erwiniaceae. The record is from RNAcentral.
UGCGCCUGAGGUGAUGGCGUGCCACCUUACCCAACCGCCGUUCUGGUAACCAGACGGCUGAUGACGCCUGACAACAC